GGGUAGGGGAGCGUUCUGUAAGCCUGCGAAGGUGUGCUGUGAGGCAUGCUGGAGGUAUCAGAAGUGCGAAUGCUGACAUAAGUAACGAUAAAGCGGGUGAAAAGCCCGCUCGCCGGAAGACCAAGGGUUCCUGUCCAACGUUAAUCGGGGCAGGGUGAGUCGACCCCUAAGGCGAGGCCGAAAGGCGUAGUCGAUGGGAAACAGGUUAAUAUUCCUGUACUUGGUGUUACUGCGAAGGGGGGACGGAGAAGGCUAUGUUGGCCGGGCGACGGUUGUCCCGGUUUAAGCGUGUAGGCUGGUUUUCCAGGCAAAUCCGGAAAAUCAAGGCUGAGGCGUGAUGACGAGGCACUACGGUGCUGAAGCAACAAAUGCCCUGCUUCCAGGAAAAGCCUCUAAGCAUCAGGUAACAUCAAAUCGUACCCCAAACCGACACAGGUGGUCAGGUAGAGAAUACCAAGGCGCUUGAGAGAACUCGGGUGAAGGAACUAGGCAAAAUGGUGCCGUAACUUCGGGAGAAGGCACGCUGAUAUGUAGGUGAAGUCCCUCGCGGAUGGAGCUGAAAUCAGUCGAAGAUACCAGCUGGCUGCAACUGUUUAUUAAAAACACAGCACUGUGCAAACACGAAAGUGGACGUAUACGGUGUGACGCCUGCCCGGUGCCGGAAGGUUAAUUGAUGGGGUUAGCGCAAGCGAAGCUCUUGAUCGAAGCCCCGGUAAACGGCGGCCGUAACUAUAACGGUCCUAAGGUAGCGAAAUUCCUUGUCGGGUAAGUUCCGACCUGCACGAAUGGCGUAAUGAUGGCCAGGCUGUCUCCACCCGAGACUCAGUGAAAUUGAACUCGCUGUGAAGAUGCAGUGUACCCGCGGCAAGACGGAAAGACCCCGUGAACCUUUACUAUAGCUUGACACUGAACAUUGAGCCUUGAUGUGUAGGAUAGGUGGGAGGCUUUGAAGUGUGGACGCCAGUCUGCAUGGAGCCGACCUUGAAAUACCACCCUUUAAUGUUUGAUGUUCUAACGUUGACCCGUAAUCCGGGUUGCGGACAGUGUCUGGUGGGUAGUUUGACUGGGGCGGUCUCCUCCUAAAGAGUAACGGAGGAGCACGAAGGUUGGCUAAUCCUGGUCGGACAUCAGGAGGUUAGUGCAAUGGCAUAAGCCAGCUUGACUGCGAGCGUGACGGCGCGAGCAGGUGCGAAAGCAGGUCAUAGUGAUCCGGUGGUUCUGAAUGGAAGGGCCAUCGCUCAACGGAUAAAAGGUACUCCGGGGAUAACAGGCUGAUACCGCCCAAGAGUUCAUAUCGACGGCGGUGUUUGGCACCUCGAUGUCGGCUCAUCACAUCCUGGGGCUGAAGUAGGUCCCAAGGGUAUGGCUGUUCGCCAUUUAAAGUGGUACGCGAGCUGGGUUUAGAACGUCGUGAGACAGUUCGGUCCCUAUCUGCCGUGGGCGCUGGAGAACUGAGGGGGGCUGCUCCUAGUACGAGAGGACCGGAGUGGACGCAUCACUGGUGUUCGGGUUGUCAUGCCAAUGGCACUGCCCGGUAGCUAAAUGCGGAAGAGAUAAGUGCUGAAAGCAUCUAAGCACGAAACUUGCC
This 1588-nucleotide ribosomal RNA is filed under the name Escherichia coli. Its description in RNAcentral is "partial 23S ribosomal RNA". It matches the Rfam family "Bacterial large subunit ribosomal RNA", at positions 1226 to 2798 of the family's 2925-position model. Lineage: Bacteria; Pseudomonadati; Pseudomonadota; Gammaproteobacteria; Enterobacterales; Enterobacteriaceae. The record is from RNAcentral.